Long non-coding RNA from Homo sapiens (human), 2256 nucleotides. Ensembl annotates it as PPM1F antisense RNA 1. Its record names the gene PPM1F-AS1. Lineage: Eukaryota; Metazoa; Chordata; Mammalia; Primates; Hominidae. The record is from Ensembl.
UGGCGGCGCCCCCUUGGUGGGGCCGCAGAGCGGAGGAGCAGCAGCUGCCACCGGCCGGAAGCCUGCUGGCUCGGCCGAGAACAAUGGCCGCCUGUCACUGUGGACAGCUGUCUCCCAGGCUAAGGCAAGGCUGCGCUCCCAGGGAAUGCGGGCAGGGAGCCAGGGCGGAGGGCAGAGGACGAGAGCGAGGAGGAGAGCGCGGGCACCCACUGAUGCUGGCGGCCUCGGGUAUUCGCUUUCUCUCUCUUCUCCCACCUUGUUCCUUUUCCCCGGAUGCACGCAUGCACUAGUAAUGCCGAAUUUAGAACAACAGGGAAAGGAAAGGAAAUGGCAAAGGAAGGGAAAGGAAAUGGCCGACAGGAAAUGGCAAGGAAGGGAAAAUCCACUGCAACUCUGCUGCCUGCUGGCCUGUCCAGGGACAACUAUUCAGCUGGGUGGGACGUUGCUACCCCCUUGUGGCACCCCUGCUGCAGCCUGCGAUUCUUACGCCCUGUAUUUCUGGUCUAACAUCAACCAACACUUUGGCGAAAUAUAAUAAAAUGAAAUUACUAGGAGAAUGAAAGAAAGUCACAUGAAAUAAAAGCCCUGCUUUUUAAUGAUUAUAUCCUCUGUGAAAUGGAUCUGCAGCCCUCUCCAUUUCUGGGUUCCCCUGGCCACACCAUGCUUAUGGCUGUCCCAGGAGCAGGCUGACAGACAAGCUUCCACCAGCAUCUAACCAUGGGGCUCAUGGACACCGUAGAGCGUCUCCACCCAACAGAAUCCUGACUUGGGGGCAGCUGAGGCAGGGGGCCCGAGCGUUGAGGGGACCACGCUGCUGCCCCGAGACCUGCUGGCAUGCCACCUGGCCAACCCUGACUUCGCCUGCCCGGGCGCAUGUUAACUGAGUUACAACACUGAGGGCACUUGAACCUGGCUGCAUGACCAGAGAUCGAUCACCUGUGAGAUCCUCUGUGAAACGGGAUAAGCAUCUUUAAUUUCCUGGGCUGUUCUGGAACUUCAGUCAGACAGGACACAGGAGGGUGUCUGCACCACCCACCCCUGCCUCGUGGGCUGACUGGGAACUAUAUGACCUGUGGAGGGCUGUGACCGCCACCCUCCACCUCACUGGGGCCGCAAGCCUUCUCUGCUCCUUGAUUCUGCUGCCGUUGUGAGCGAGGGCCCCAGCACCCUUAGGGACCCCAAUCAAUGGGCUUCCCACAAUGUCGUCACCCUUUGUUGCCUGCUAAGCAGCCCUGGGGCCACCUCAGAAGAAACAGAACUCACAGGUCACAGGGGCCUUUUCCUCCUCGUCAUCGUCCUCCUCCUCUUCUUCUUCCUCCCUGGGCAACUUCCUGAAUUCGGAAAGGUGGGGUUUUGCUAUGUUGUCCAGGCUGGUCUUGAACUCCUGCCCUCAAGUGAUCCUCCCAUCUCAGCCUCCCAAAGCCCUGGGAUAAUGGCGUGAGCCGCCACACCUGGCCGCCUUUGCAGGGAGGAAGGACGCCUGUUUCCCUUGGUCCCGGUGAGGCCAGGCCUCAGCUUCCUGCCCACCCGCCACUGCUGCUGGGGCAGGGAGGCAGUUUCCGGCUGUGGGGACCCAGACAAUGCCUGGCCAAGGGCCACCAUCGUCCUCUUCCUGGACACAGCUCCCGCCUCAUCCCAGGGUCUGGCCUGGGACACGCCCUAGAGGCCCUCAGCCCUGAGUCACUGCACCAUGCAGAUCCACCCUGAUUCUGGUCCCUGCAGAGCAGGCUCCUACACAAGGCAAGAAGAUGCUCCAGGGACAAGCCAAGGUGUAUGCAAGGCCCAGGUGCCUGAGAAACACGUCUCACCGACCUUGGGGCAGGGGCUGUUACAAGAGGCUUAUAGUCUAGUGGCAGAGACAAAAACCACACUCAAAUCAUUAGUGUACGGUAUGCACUGCUCAGGGACUCAAAUAUGUGACAGGAGGCUCCAAACAAGAGCGGAGACAAGGCGUAAAUAGCCCCCUGUGGACUGGAUGUUCUGACUCCUGGAUGGCCUCCAGAAGGAUGCCUUUUACGGUCUGUGAAAGAGCUCAGGGACCAAGAUGCUCAAAGCCCUUCAUGCCCAAGAGCCCCUCCUCAGGCUGGGACACGGGAAGCAGAGCUCGGAGGUGGAACUCGUGACUGUGUAUGGGCACAUGUGAGUGCGUGUGUGUGGACAGCCAGGCUUAGUGUAGACAACGUGUGAGGCUCAGACCCCAAGUGCUGACUACACCUAUGCACAUCCACACCUGCGUGUGAAAGAAGAUGCUAGAAA